GCGUCAGUAGCUCAGUCGGAUAGAGCAUCGGUCUUCUAAACCGAGGGUCGCAGGUUCGAAUCCUGUCUGACGCA
Molecule: transfer RNA, 74 nt
Filed under: Lachnospiraceae bacterium
Lineage: Bacteria; Bacillati; Bacillota; Clostridia; Lachnospirales; Lachnospiraceae
Also listed under: 1 other name
Description: tRNA-Arg
Rfam family: tRNA
About the family: Transfer RNA (tRNA) molecules are approximately 80 nucleotides in length. Their secondary structure includes four short double-helical elements and three loops (D, anti-codon, and T loops).
Source: RNAcentral